AACUUUGGACAAUGGGGGAAACCUUGAUCCCGCAAUGCCGCGUGCAGGAUGAAGGCCUUCGGGUUGUAAAUUGCAUUUGUACGGAACGAAAAGUCUCCGGCUCAUACGCUGGGAUCAUGACGGUACCGCAAGAAUAAGCACUUGCUAACUACGUGCCAGCAGCCGCGGUAAUACGUCGGGUGCAAGCGUUAAUCGGAAUUACUGGGCGUAAAGCGUGCGCAGGCGGUUUUGUAAGACAGUGGUGAAAUCCCCGGGCUCAACCUGGGAACUGCCAUUGUGACUGCAAGGCUGGAGUGCGGCAGAGGGGGAUGGAAUUCCGCGUGUAGCAGUGAAAUGCGUAGAUAUGCGGAGGAACACCGAUGGCGAAGGCAAUCCCCUGGGCCUGCACUGACGCUCAUGCACGAAAGCGUGGGGAGCAAACAGG
This 424-nucleotide ribosomal RNA is filed under the name uncultured bacterium. RNAcentral describes it as "partial 16S ribosomal RNA". It matches the Rfam family "Bacterial small subunit ribosomal RNA", at positions 360 to 776 of the family's 1533-position model. The record is from RNAcentral.